GGCUGGUCCGAUGGCAGUGGGUUAUUAGAACUUAUUAACAUUAGUGUCACUAAAGUUGGUAUACCACCCCCCCCACUGCUAAAUUUGACUGGCUUAUA
RNAcentral lists this Y RNA (98 nucleotides) under Cavia porcellus (domestic guinea pig). It matches the Rfam family "Y RNA". From Rfam's summary of the family: Y RNAs are components of the Ro ribonucleoprotein particle (Ro RNP), in association with Ro60 and La proteins. Lineage: Eukaryota; Metazoa; Chordata; Mammalia; Rodentia; Caviidae. The record is from Rfam by way of RNAcentral.